UGUCUCUACACGUUUUUACAUGGACUGACCACAAAAGUUUUUUAAUUUUUUUUAUGAGCGGUACUAAACUGGCCUACAUGUAAUUCUUGUGAGAUGACGUGAUCAACUAAUUUACAGGCCAUAUCGAAAUUAUGUGCUCCGGCCGGCAGACCCCACAACCACCUCUAAUAUUGAUGUCCAAAGAAAUGUGGAACGAAACCAUACAAAAACGAAGAAGAAGAAGAAGAAGAGAUUCGUUUUGAUGCUAUAUCAAUAUAGUCAUACAAAAACGUGGGAGUGAUUCAUCAUUUCCAACUUCUUUUUUAAUUUUUUAAUUUUUAUUUUGGAGAAGCCGUGUGUUUGAUUUUAUUUGAAUAAGCAUGAGGAUUGAUUUGAAUAUGAAUAUUUGAUGUAUCACUGCUAACUGUAGAUGAACAUAACAUUGCUAUACUUAAUGAGCCAUACAGAGGUUAAAAAAGCGCGGGUGCGUUUCGUAAUUUGAAACUGUUUUUGUAGUUGUUGCCGGGGUGUGUGCGUGUUUUUCAAUUAUUAUAAUUUAUAAAUUUCCGGCACCACUCUCUCCAGGAAGAAAUCCUCCGUACGGUAAUGGAGGGUCAACUACAGUCUAAGAGACCAAACCCUAACUUUAAACCGAAAAAGAUAUCAAAUUCAACGAAUGCAAAGAAUAAGAAGAGCGAACUCGAGUUCUGCAGAGUUUGCAACCCAAAUCAGUGAAUCACGACGCAGGGCAGUAACACAAGCACUUCCCAAGUCACUCUCUAAAUUCCAAACCAAGAUCAUGGAAAUUCGGUUCUUCCUGAAGAACCCUACCAUUAUCCGCAACGAACACGUCUUUCGUAUAUGUCUUUGGUGCGUUUUUUGCGAUUCCGAUGUCGACGAGCUCGGCAGCUCCUUUGCUUGGUACGAUAUUCAUUCACUAAUUCCAAAACUGAACACCAGAAUUACUGAAAUAACUUAUUUUCUGCUGGAUUUUAUUGUGUCAGUAAUAAUGCAAUUAACUAGUGUGGUCCAUAUGAAGAAGUUAAAGAACUUUCUGCGGAAAUUUGGCUGUGGAAUGGAUCACGUGGAUGCUUUUAGUUUUAGGAUUUUGGAAACUAAUUUAGUUAAGGUGUUGCGUUAUUCACCGUCUCAUUCAAAAUAGUCACUACAUUCUUGUCGAUUUUCUGAUCAAUGAGAAAUCUUAUCUUCUAUCUGUAAUUAUCUGAAUUUAGAAAAAAAAAAAAAAAAAACCUGAUGAGAACGAUUAAAAAUUUCAUCAAGAAUCUUCAUCUUUAUGUCCGUACUGUUCAAAAAGAGAGAUCAGGAAAUCAAUAAUGAAGAUGUGAAAAAUGCUGUUUCUUUUGAUUGUAAUGGGAGAAGAAGUGCAAAUCAAUGGAGACUGGAGCUGUCUCCUCUAGUGAAGGAUCUCAGGGACCACUUUUGGUCCUUCAAAUGAUAUACUCAGAUUUGAAAAUAUGAAUUACUUUGAAAAGAAUAAUAUUCACACUCUUAAUUCAAAUAUUUCAAAUGGUGUUAUACCUGUACAAUUUCAUACAAAUGAGUACCAGGUGUUACAUUCUGGAUUCUCUGAAGCUGCAAAUACUGGUUAAAAUCUGCAUGCUGUUACCUCUUCCAUGCUUGGAGAUGCUUCCUCUGGUUCAAUUUUAUGGAAUUCAAAUGGUUUGAUGGUUAGCUGGAACAACCUUUUAUAAUGGCACAAGCUGCUCUGGAAAUGUCUACCUCAGUGGAAAAGAGGUAAGUUAGUUCAUCUACACUCUUUUCCUUCUUCUUCUUCUUCUUAUUAUUAUUAUUACUACUACUAUUGUUUUCAAUGCUUUCUGGGUAACUUGUUCUGGCUAAACUGUUGGUAGCCUAUUCUGUUUUCAAGAUUCUUACAUGGUUGCAUUUCACCAUUUUUUUUUUUUUUUGGUAUGCAUUUAUUGCAAGGUUUCUUGCCAAUAUGUAAUAUGUUUCACAUAGGUGUAUCAUGCAUUUCGGGAUGAAAGAGUUUUAAUUGAGAGAUCAAUUCUCUGGGUUUGAAGAAUAUAACUCAAAUUUCUUCUAAGGCUCCAUAAGAGGCUGCUGGAAAUGUAUAUUCUUUGGCACCUUCUCCAUGGUUUGAAGCAUUUGAAGGAGAUCAGCUAAAACAAGUUUUAAGUGGCUUAGUUUCUUUCAUUAAGUCUGGGAAGUUUAAAUUGAACCCAAAAUGAGUGGGAUCUGCUUGGGCAGAAAAUAGAAAGAUGGAGAUGGAAAUGGAGAAGAGAGGAGAGAUGGUUAAGACUUAAGAGUGAUUUUGAUUCUAACUGGCUACCCAAUUUUGGUAGAGUUUGGCAAUUGGGUACUUGGAAGGAAUCUAGAAAGGAAUUUGACAUUGAGAAACAAAAACGAUCAAAAGCUAUAAGUCACACUGAGAUCCCAAUGAAGAUUCAACCUUGUAUCAGCAAAAAAAUGGUGAGCAUUGCAUCCCCGUUUGCUUACUAAUUAAGGUGUAAAUUCUUUUCCUCCUAUGCUCUGAUGAUAUGUGAUGAAGGGAUUUUAUUUUUAUUUCAUACUGCCAUAUUCAAUUGCAUUGCCUGACUUUCCAUGUCUUAGUUAUCCCACUGUUAUGAAGUUUGAGUCACUGUGCUAUUAAGGAGCAAUAUAAUAAUUGGCUUCAGUAGAUUCCUGCACAUCUAACUGAAAUCUAAUGUCCUGCCACUGUUGACCCAGAAUUUAGAUCCAAGAAAUUCUUAAACAGCCAAUUUCUGGAAAUGUGCUCUUUCAUUAAAUAUAAAAUUAGUCUUGUAAUAUGUAAAUUUGUUGCAUGGUAAUUGAGUUUUCUGUUGAACUUAGAGCUUGCUUCUCUUUAGAAUUUUAGCUAGUGUUUGUAAAUGGAUGCAUGUGAACUGGCACAUAUAUGUAUAUUCUGUAUGAGUGCCAUGAAUACAUGGGUACAUCCUGCAGUUUAGAUAUAUAUGCCUAAUUGGAGCUUUAUUGAAUGGUUGACAGUGGUACUUAACUCCAACUUUGAGAUUAUUUCUUUUAACUUUUAAUUGUGCUUAGGGUUUAUGCUAUGAAUUUCUAGGUUGAUGCAUUUUAUAUUUUGCCAACAGAAGAAACUUUUGACAUUAAAGUGAUUGUGCUGAAUGGCAGAGUCAGGUUAGUUGUUAUUGAUUAUAGGUUGAAACAGGAGCAGUUAAGCAAUUGUUUCUACAGAUGCAUCUUGUUAUGAUAUGUUUCAUGUGUAAAACAAAGGGGUGUUGUGAGCAUAACUAACUAAUGUAAUGUUAAUGGUGAUAAAAGUGGUGAAUACAAAUGGUGUUUUUACAGGUUCCAUUCUCAAAGUGUAAUUGUUGAAUGUGCAUUGAUUUAAUAGUUUUAAAUUUUUAUAAAAAUUGAGGUGUCAAUAAUGCUGUAGCAAAUUGUCGUACAUUUUCCGGGAUGGAGUUGUCUUGUUCUUAUAGAGUCAAGCAUGCGUACUGGAGAUUUAGUUAAAUGGGGAUUUAGGAAUAUCACUAUGGCAGUCUCAUAUCAUCUAGUACUUUAUUGCAGGGUUUUACAUCUGACAAACAUAAAUACUAGGUAAUAGUAUUCAACUAGACCCUUGACUGCUGUAAAAAUAAUUAAAACUCCGAAGAUUUAAGACAGAAUUUUCAUUCUAUUAUUUACGCAUUGUAUGUUUUUGGUAUAGUUACUAUCUUUGUAGAUGAUAACACUCUGUGUCCGUUGAGACGUUCUUGU
This is a long non-coding RNA of Mangifera indica (mango), 3699 nucleotides long. RefSeq lists it as uncharacterized. The transcript has 3 exons. Lineage: Eukaryota; Viridiplantae; Streptophyta; Magnoliopsida; Sapindales; Anacardiaceae. The record is from RefSeq and is a predicted model, not a curated record.